GUUUGAUCCUGGCUCAGAACGAACGCUGGCGGCGCGCCUAACACAUGCAAGUCGCACGAGAGGCUCUUCGGAGUAGUACAGUGGCGCACGGGUGAGUAAGACAGGGGUAACCUGCCUUUGAGAGGGGAAUAACCAGCCGAAAGGCUGGCUAAUACCCCAUACGCUUCCGGUCCCUCGGGUAAGGAAGGAAAGUUGCAUCGUGGAUGUGGCGCUCAAAGAGGGGCUCAUGGCCUAUCAGCUUGUUGGUGGGGUAACGGCCUACCAAGGCAACGACGGGUAGCUGGUCUGAGAGGACGAUCAGCCACACUGGCACUGAGACACGGGCCAGACUCCUACGGGAGGCAGCAGUGAGGAAUAUUGCGCAAUGGGCGAAAGCCUGACGCAGCGACGCCGCGUGGGGGAAGAAGGUUUUCGGAUUGUAAACCCCUUUUAGGAGGAAAGAUGGGGUGGGUCACCACCCGGACGGUACCUCCAGAAAAAGCCACGGCUAACUUCGUGCCAGCAGCCGCGGUAAUACGAAGGUGGCAAGCGUUGUUCGGAUUUACUGGGCGUAAAGAGCACGUAGGCGGUUGAGUCAGCCCCUUGGGAAAGCUCCGGGCUUAACCCGGAAAAGUCGAGGGGGACUGCUCAGCUAGAGGGCGGGAGAGGAGCGCGGAUUNCCNNGUGUAGCNGUGAAAUGCGUAGAUAUCGGGAAGAAGGCCGGUGCGANGCNGCCCUCUNGAACGUCUCUGACGCUGAGGCGCGACGCGUGGGAGCAACAGGAUAGAUACCUGGUAGUC
RNAcentral lists this ribosomal RNA (779 nucleotides) under uncultured bacterium. RNAcentral describes it as "bacterial SSU rRNA". It matches the Rfam family "Bacterial small subunit ribosomal RNA", at positions 11 to 795 of the family's 1533-position model. The record is from RNAcentral.